AGUGAACGCUGGCGGUAGGCCUAACACAUGCAAGUCGAACGGCAGCACAGUAAGAGCUUGCUCUUACGGGUGGCGAGUGGCGGACGGGUGAGGAAUACAUCGGAAUCUACUUUUUCGUGGGGGAUAACGUAGGGAAACUUACGCUAAUACCGCAUACGACCUACGGGUGAAAGCAGGGGAUCUUCGGACCUUGCGCGAUUGAAUGAGCCGAUGUCGGAUUAGCUAGUUGGCGGGGUAAAGGCCCACCAAGGCGACGAUCCGUAGCUGGUCUGAGAGGAUGAUCAGCCACACUGGAACUGAGACACGGUCCAGACUCCUAUGGGAGGCAGCAGUGGGGAAUAUUGGACAAUGGGCGCAAGCCUGAUCCAGCCAUACCGCGUGGGUGAAGAAGGCCUUCGGGUUGUAAAGCCCUUAUGUUGGGAAAGAAAAGCAGCAGGUUAAUACCCCGCUGUUCUGACGGUACCCAAAGAAUAAGCACCGGCUAACUUCGUG
RNAcentral lists this ribosomal RNA (492 nucleotides) under uncultured bacterium. RNAcentral's name for it is "partial 16S ribosomal RNA". It matches the Rfam family "Bacterial small subunit ribosomal RNA", at positions 29 to 507 of the family's 1533-position model. The record is from RNAcentral.